UACGUAGGGUCCGAGCGUUGUCCGGAAUUAUUGGGCGUAAAGGGUGUGUAGGUUGUCUUGUUAGUCAGAUGUUAAAACUUCCCGCUUAACGGGAAAUCGGCAUUUGAAACGGCAAAACUAGAGGAUGCGAGAGGUGAACAGAACUCAUGGUGUAGGGGUGAAAUCCGUUGAUAUCAUGGGGAAUACCAAAUGCGAAGGCAGUUCACUGGCGCACUCCUGACACUGAAACACGAAAGCGUGGGUCGCGAACUGG
RNAcentral lists this ribosomal RNA (253 nucleotides) under uncultured bacterium. RNAcentral's name for it is "partial 16S ribosomal RNA". It matches the Rfam family "Bacterial small subunit ribosomal RNA", at positions 524 to 776 of the family's 1533-position model. The record is from RNAcentral.